This 179-nucleotide long non-coding RNA is filed under the name Lonchura striata (white-rumped munia). RNAcentral's name for it is "domestica (Bengalese finch) lncRNA (ENSLSDG00000003967.1)". Lineage: Eukaryota; Metazoa; Chordata; Aves; Passeriformes; Estrildidae. The record is from RNAcentral.
UCCGUCCGCCAGCAUCCUCCGGAACCGGGAACGGUGCGGCCAGCAUCCCCCGUCAAAGUAACAUCCAGUCAGGCUUUGCAUGGCAUGAGGCAGAAACAGGAUUUUCUAGCAUGCUGUGAAAUCUGAUCUCUGGAACUCUCAGUGAAGACAUCUACUUGAUACUUGCAAUGUAAAUUAGC